UACAGAGGGUGCGAGCGUUGUCCGGAAUCACUGGGCGUAAAGGGUGCGUAGGCGGCGCGGAAAGUUGGGUGUGAAAUCCCUCGGCUCAACCGAGGAACUGCGCCCAAAACUGCCGUGCUCGAGGGAGAUAGAGGUGAGCGGAACUUAGGGUGGAGCGGUGAAAUGCGUUGAUAUCCUAAGGAACACCGGUGGCGAAAGCGGCUCACUGGAUCUCUUCUGACGCUGAGGCACGAAAGCUAGGGUAGCGAACGGG
RNAcentral lists this ribosomal RNA (253 nucleotides) under uncultured bacterium. RNAcentral's name for it is "partial 16S ribosomal RNA". It matches the Rfam family "Bacterial small subunit ribosomal RNA", at positions 524 to 776 of the family's 1533-position model. The record is from RNAcentral.